RNAcentral lists this unclassified non-coding RNA (506 nucleotides) under Pachydesus raffrayi. RNAcentral's name for it is "partial contains 16S ribosomal RNA (rrnL) and tRNA-Leu (trnL)". It matches the Rfam family "Bacterial large subunit ribosomal RNA", at positions 1926 to 2642 of the family's 2925-position model. The record is from RNAcentral. Lineage: Eukaryota; Metazoa; Arthropoda; Insecta; Coleoptera; Carabidae.
AAUGGCCGCAGUAAUUUGACUGUGCAAAGGUAGCAUAAUCAUUAGUUUUUUAAUUAAAAGCUUGUAUGAAAGGUUGGACGAAGUAAAUUCUGUCUCUAUAUAAAUUAAAUUAGAAUUUAAUUUUUAAGUUAAAAAGCUUAAAUUUUUAUAAAAGACGAGAAGACCCUAUAGAGUUUUAUAUAUAAUUAUUUAUAAUUAUUUAAGAUUAUUUUAUUUUAUUAAUAAUUAUUUAUUUUAUUGGGGUAAUAGAAAGAUUAAUAUAAUUCUUUUUUUAUUAAACAUAAAUUAAUGAAUAAAUGAUCCAUUAUUAUUGAUUAUAAGUUUAAAUUACCUUAGGGAUAACAGCGUAAUUUUUUUAAAGAGUUCAUAUCGAUAAAAAAGUUUGCGACCUCGAUGUUGGAUUAAAGAUUAAUUUAGGUGCAGAAAUUUAAAUUUUUGGUCUGUUCGACCAUUAAAUCUUUACAUGAUCUGAGUUCAGACCGGUGUAAGCCAGGUCGGUUUCUAUC